This 253-nucleotide ribosomal RNA is filed under the name uncultured bacterium. RNAcentral's name for it is "partial 16S ribosomal RNA". It matches the Rfam family "Bacterial small subunit ribosomal RNA", at positions 524 to 776 of the family's 1533-position model. The record is from RNAcentral.
GACAGAGGGUGCAAACGUUGUUCGGAAUUACUGGGCGUAAAGCGCGUGUAGGCGGCCCUGCAAGUCGGGUGGGAAAUCCCACGGCUCAACCGUGGAAGUGCACUCGAAACUGCAAGGCUAGAGUCCUGGAGAGGAAGGUGGAAUGCUUGGUGUAGAGGUGAAAUUCGUAGAUAUCAAGCGGAACACCGAUGGCGAAGGCAGUUCUCUGGGCCGUAACUGACGCUGAGGAGCGAAAGCGUGGGGAGCGAACAGG